AAAUAAGAAGUAAAAUAUUACACUUAGUUUCGACCUAAGAAUUUGACUUGUGUCCUUAUUUU
This 62-nucleotide transfer RNA is filed under the name Erotylidae sp. BMNH 1274780. RNAcentral's name for it is "tRNA-Arg". The record is from RNAcentral. Lineage: Eukaryota; Metazoa; Arthropoda; Insecta; Coleoptera; Erotylidae.